RNAcentral lists this long non-coding RNA (368 nucleotides) under Struthio camelus australis. Its description in RNAcentral is "lncRNA (ENSSCUG00000007955.1)". The record is from RNAcentral. Lineage: Eukaryota; Metazoa; Chordata; Aves; Struthioniformes; Struthionidae.
UGUACUGCACCGUGUAUGCUGCCCAGGUCUCUUCUGUUCACAGAAUCAUGACAUAUUUCCUGUGGAACUGAUCUGAUAACAGCAAGCUUUGAUACCAGCCUGAUUGAAUUCAUUGCAAAUGGGAAGAUGAAAGAAAACUUUUCAUGCAAGAGUAAAACUACUGAAAUUAUUGUUGAAUUGGCCCUAGAAGCUUCGUUUUCGACUACUGAUUUGAUAAAUUCUGCUUGACGUGUCCCUUGGCCAUGCAGAAUUUUCUAGGCUGUGUCACCCUGUCUUGAUCCAGUCAAGUGCGGCCAGUUGUAUGCAAAGGUAAGCACAGAGAAUUUUGUUGAUUUUUGAGGUGUUGCUUGAUUCUUUACAUUCCUCCC